AUGUCAGCUCCAUGUUUUGGGUGGCCCAUCUGGUUAGUUCAGCUAUCACUGCUGGAAGCCCCUGCGGUUGUUCGGCUGCAUAGAUGUUUGCCGGGGGAGAUUGGUGAGGGGGGUCUACGUUCACUAUUAAGCCUACGCCCGUCCAUUCCUUUAAAGCUUUAUCCCGCCCUUAGACUCGUUACGCUUAAUGCCCACUUACUUAAAGACUCAUUGGCUCCGCGCUCUAUUCGGUCAGAACCCGGUUUGAGAACCUUCUCUCAUAGAUUCCUUUCACCAAGUUAUCGCCAGCAAUCAGCUCUUAUCCCUUGGUGUGGUGUCGGCGAGUUCCUUUCUUGUCUUGCCCAAAAACUGGCUUGA
RNAcentral lists this long non-coding RNA (357 nucleotides) under Vicia faba (fava bean). Lineage: Eukaryota; Viridiplantae; Streptophyta; Magnoliopsida; Fabales; Fabaceae. The record is from RNAcentral.